This 554-nucleotide ribosomal RNA is filed under the name Saccharomyces cerevisiae (brewer's yeast). RNAcentral describes it as "eukaryotic LSU rRNA". It matches the Rfam family "Eukaryotic large subunit ribosomal RNA", at positions 62 to 630 of the family's 3401-position model. Lineage: Eukaryota; Fungi; Ascomycota; Saccharomycetes; Saccharomycetales; Saccharomycetaceae. The record is from RNAcentral.
AAACCAACCGGGAUUGCCUUAGUAACGGCGAGUGAAGCGGCAAAAGCUCAAAUUUGAAAUCUGGUACCUUCGGUGCCCGAGUUGUAAUUUGGAGAGGGCAACUUUGGGGCCGUUCCUUGUCUAUGUUCCUUGGAACAGGACGUCAUAGAGGGUGAGAAUCCCGUGUGGCGAGGAGUGCGGUUCUUUGUAAAGUGCCUUCGAAGAGUCGAGUUGUUUGGGAAUGCAGCUCUAAGUGGGUGGUAAAUUCCAUCUAAAGCUAAAUAUUGGCGAGAGACCGAUAGCGAACAAGUACAGUGAUGGAAAGAUGAAAAGAACUUUGAAAAGAGAGUGAAAAAGUACGUGAAAUUGUUGAAAGGGAAGGGCAUUUGAUCAGACAUGGUGUUUUGUGCCCUCUGCUCCUUGUGGGUAGGGGAAUCUCGCAUUUCACUGGGCCAGCAUCAGUUUUGGUGGCAGGAUAAAUCCAUAGGAAUGUAGCUUGCCUCGGUAAGUAUUAUAGCCUGUGGGAAUACUGCCAGCUGGGACUGAGGACUGCGACGUAAGUCAAGGAUGCUGGC